GGCAGAUAUGGAUUGACACCUGUCCUAAGGAUCCCUGAUACACACUAACACAGAGCAGAAUAGGGACUGUUCCCCCUACAUAGGGUCACUUGGCAGAUAUGGAUUAACACCUAUCCUCAGGAUCCCUGAUACACACUGACACAGAGCAGAAUAGGGAAUGUUCCCCCUUCAUAGGGUCACUUGGCAGAUAUGGAUUGACACCUAUCCUAAGGAUCCCUGAUACACACUGACACAGAGCAGAAUAGGGAAUAUUCACUAAAUGCCAAACAUUGUUAUAUAGGGUAAUAUUCUGUAAAUAAGGAUAAGGG
Molecule: non-coding RNA, 308 nt
Organism: Pelobates cultripes (western spadefoot toad)
Lineage: Eukaryota; Metazoa; Chordata; Amphibia; Anura; Pelobatidae
Source: the annotation of a GenBank genome assembly